CCCUCGCUGCCACCUCCCACACGCUGCUCCACCACUUCCUCCUCCGCACGCCGCCCUCCCCUGCCAAGCCUUCCACCCAUCUCUGUUAAGAUCUCUGUUAAAAUCUCUCCUCAAUCUUCCUAAUUCUCUCUUCACCUGCCACCAGCCGCCCGCCAUCCGCCGCCGCCGCCGAGACCUUGUCACCGGCCGCUGUUGUCCAGACCCUCGAAGGACUCCCCUGCAGUUGGUAAAUGUUUUUAUUUUAAAUCUAAUUACAAAAACUAAAAAUGGCCGACGAACAUGAGUCCAUCGGAAAGGGGGGAGGGACGGCGACUGCAGUUCUGACGCCGUGUCCGUCGGCGGUCCUAGGGCACACAUAUAUGGCAAACCUCUUCGGAUUUCAACACUUCACAAAAAAAAAUGGAGCCCUAAAUCGAGCCCUAGUCUCCCACCCCGUGCAAUCGAUGGAGGUCUAAGCAUCCACCCACGCCGCCGGAAGCCGCCGCCACCAACCCGCUGCAAGUGUCCGACAACGCCCCUGCUCCCGCUCCACCGCCGUCGCACCGGCACCUCUCUUUUAUCUCCGGGUUUAGUGUGUGUCUUCCUUACCCCCAGCCGAUUGCAGUUGCUUCACCAUUGCGCGGUUUGAUUUUUCUCCUUGCGUUAUAUGUCUCUAAAUGUGAGAUUGAGCUAUUGUGUGUUAGAUUUCUGAAAAUUUGCAGCUUUCUUUGUGUGUGUGGAUUAAUUUUAUUACUAUGUUGAUGAACUUGAAUUUAGUGUUAAUAAAUUUGAAAUUAGUGUUGUUGUUGAGGCUAUGUUAGAUUUCUAUGCUUUAGUCCAUUGUAAGAAGGAAUGCAACAAAGUUGUCCAUUGAUAGACUACCAUCUUAUGAGAUAAUGUGCUUAUGAAUAAGUAAUGUUUAGCGAUUUGGACUGAUUCUCGAUUGGUGAAUGCUAGUAGAUGAAGUUUUACUUAAGCUGCAUUGACUAUUAGCACGUCUGUUUAUUUGAGUGAUAUAUUGGUUAGCGCUUAAGAGAAAUUCGGUUGAAAUAUAAUUUUUGUUGCUUUUACUUGGGCACUGUUGAGAGAAAUUCGGUUGAAAUGUUGUUGACAAAGUCCCCAGGGAGCUCUGUUACUGUAUUGUACACUUAAGCUGAGGUUGCUGCUACUCUUUUAUUUCCAUUUAAGCUGAGGUUGCUGCUACUCUCUUAAAUUGCUCCCAGCUUGUGUUGAAAAUAUUUGUUUCUUCAAAUUUCAUUGUUAUUAUUGUUUCUUUGAA
This is a long non-coding RNA of Salvia miltiorrhiza (redroot sage), 1258 nucleotides long. RefSeq lists it as uncharacterized. The record is from RefSeq and is a predicted model, not a curated record. The transcript has 2 exons. NCBI's taxonomy places the organism in Eukaryota, Viridiplantae, Streptophyta, Magnoliopsida, Lamiales, Lamiaceae.